UGGGGUGAUCCGCGCAAUUGGAGGUGGUGAACCGUGUCAGGUCCGAAAGGAAGCAGCACUAAGUCGCCAAAGAUGUGCGCGGAUCACUUUAGCC
RNAcentral lists this signal recognition particle RNA (94 nucleotides) under Candidatus Lambdaproteobacteria bacterium RIFOXYD12_FULL_49_8. RNAcentral describes it as "signal recognition particle sRNA small type". It matches the Rfam family "Bacterial small signal recognition particle RNA". From Rfam's summary of the family: The signal recognition particle (SRP) is a universally conserved ribonucleoprotein involved in the co-translational targeting of proteins to membranes. Archaeal SRP consists of a 7S RNA and homologues of the eukaryotic SRP19 and SRP54 proteins. RNAcentral also lists the same sequence under 1 other name. The record is from RNAcentral. Lineage: Bacteria; Pseudomonadati; Pseudomonadota; Candidatus Lambdaproteobacteria.